This 468-nucleotide ribosomal RNA is filed under the name uncultured bacterium. RNAcentral describes it as "partial 16S ribosomal RNA". It matches the Rfam family "Bacterial small subunit ribosomal RNA", at positions 28 to 507 of the family's 1533-position model. The record is from RNAcentral.
GACGAACGCUGGCGGCGUGCUUAACACAUGCAAGUCUAACGGAAAGGCCCUGCUUUUGUGGGGUGCUCGAGUGGCGAACGGGUGAGUAACACGUGAGUAACCUGCCCUUGACUUUGGGAUAACUUCAGGAAACUGGGGCCAAUACCGGAUAGGAGCUCCUGCUGCAUGGUGGGGGUUGGAAAGUUUCGGCGGUUGGGGAUGGACUCGCGGCUUAUCAGCUUGUUGGUGGGGUAGUGGCUUACCAAGGCUUUGACGGGUAGCCGGCCUGAGAGGGUGACCGGCCACAUUGGGACUGAGAUACGGCCCAGACUCCUACGGGAGGCAGCAGUGGGGAAUAUUGCACAAUGGGCGGAAGCCUGAUGCAGCAACGCCGCGUGCGGGAUGAAGGCCUUCGGGUUGUAAACCGCUUUCGCCUGUGACGAAGCGUGAGUGACGGUAAUGGGUAAAGAAGCACCGGCUAACUACGUG